Molecule: ribosomal RNA, 253 nt
Filed under: uncultured bacterium
Lineage: Bacteria
Description: partial 16S ribosomal RNA
Rfam family: Bacterial small subunit ribosomal RNA
Source: RNAcentral
UACGUAGGGGGCAAGCGUUGUCCGGAUUUAUUGGGCGUAAAGAGCGUGUAGGCGGUUUGGUAGGUCCGCUGUGAAAACUCGAGGCUCAACCUCGAGACGCCGGUGGAAACCAUCAGACUAGAGUCCGGAAGAGGAGAGCGGAAUUCCUGGUGUAGCGGUGAAAUGCGCAGAUAUCAGGAAGAACACCCGUGGCUAAGGCGGUUCUCUAGUACGGUACUGACGCUGAGACGCGAAAGCGUGGGGAGCGAACAGG